AACGAACGCUGGCGGCGUGCUUAACACAUGCAAGUCGAACGGCAAGUCCCUGCUUGUGUUGGGUGCCCGAGUGGCGAAGGGGUGCGUAACACUUGUGUAUCCUGCUCUUGACUUUUGUGUAACUUCAGGAAACUGGGGCUACUACCGGAUCGCAGCUCCUGCUGCCUUGUGAGUGUUGGAACUUUUCGGCGUUUGGGGAUGGACUCGCGGCUUAUCAGCUUGUUGGUGGGGUAGUGGCUUACCAAGGCUUUGACGGGUCGCCGGCCUGAGAGGGUGACCGGCCACAUGGGGACUGAGAUACGGCCCAGACUCCUACGGGAGGCAGCAGUGGGGAAUAUUGCACAAUGGGCGGAAGCCUGAUGCAGCAACGCCGCGUGCGGGAUGACGGCCUUCGGGUUGUAAACCGCUUUCGCCUGUGACGAAGCGUGAGUGACGGUAAUGGGUAAAGAAGCACCGGCUAACUACGUG
This 468-nucleotide ribosomal RNA is filed under the name uncultured bacterium. RNAcentral's name for it is "partial 16S ribosomal RNA". It matches the Rfam family "Bacterial small subunit ribosomal RNA", at positions 28 to 507 of the family's 1533-position model. The record is from RNAcentral.